Molecule: transfer RNA, 74 nt
Organism: Homo sapiens (human)
Lineage: Eukaryota; Metazoa; Chordata; Mammalia; Primates; Hominidae
Rfam family: tRNA
About the family: Transfer RNA (tRNA) molecules are approximately 80 nucleotides in length. Their secondary structure includes four short double-helical elements and three loops (D, anti-codon, and T loops).
Source: Rfam
GGCCCUGUAGCUCAGCGGUUGGAGCGCUGGUCUCGUAAACCUAGGGGUCGUGAGUUCAAAUCUCACCAGGGCCU